CCGUUCUUGUGCUCUGUGGUGUGCGUGGUGGUGCGACGGUUUGGUUGCGUGUUACACGUGAGACGUGACGGCGGCGUGGAUUUUUGCGAGGACGUCGCCUCCGAGGGGAUGGACGCGGAGGAUGCGCUCAAGGGAUACCGAUCAAAAAUCUCCCUCAAGAGCUCGGAACAAGACCUUGUGAUCCGACAUUAAAACUAAUGGUGUGUAACUGUCCGUAUAGUUCUUCCGAGACACCUCCGAUCAUUAGGUUUGAUGUCAUUUAGCAAAACCAGUCAAGCUU
This is a long non-coding RNA of Zophobas morio, 280 nucleotides long. RefSeq lists it as uncharacterized. The transcript is spliced from 3 exons. The record is from RefSeq and is a predicted model, not a curated record. NCBI's taxonomy places the organism in Eukaryota, Metazoa, Arthropoda, Insecta, Coleoptera, Tenebrionidae.